This 45-nucleotide non-coding RNA is filed under the name Trichobilharzia regenti. The record is from RNAcentral. Lineage: Eukaryota; Metazoa; Platyhelminthes; Trematoda; Strigeidida; Schistosomatidae.
AUCCAGUUGACGAGUCCCAAAUAGGACGAAAUGAGCAUCCUGGAU